This 528-nucleotide ribosomal RNA is filed under the name Arthrobacter citreus. RNAcentral describes it as "bacterial SSU rRNA". It matches the Rfam family "Bacterial small subunit ribosomal RNA", at positions 378 to 916 of the family's 1533-position model. The record is from RNAcentral. Lineage: Bacteria; Bacillati; Actinomycetota; Actinomycetes; Micrococcales; Micrococcaceae.
GAAGCCUGAUGCACCGACGCCGCGUGAGGGACGAAGGCCUUCGGGUUGUAAACCUCUUUCAGUAGGGAAGAAGCGAAAGUGACGGUACCUGCAGAAAAAGCGCCGGCUAACUACGUGCCAGCAGCCGCGGUAAUACGUAGGGCGCAAGCGUUAUCCGGAAUUAUUGGGCGUAAAGAGCUCGUAGGCGGUUUGUCGCGUCUGCUGUGAAAGCCCGGGGCUCAACCCCGGGUCUGCGGUGGGUACGGGCAGACUAGAGUGCAGUAGGGGAGACUGGAAUUCCUGGUGUAGCGGUGAAAUGCGCAGAUAUCAGGAGGAACACCGAUGGCGAAGGCAGGUCUCUGGGCUGUAACUGACGCUGAGGAGCGAAAGCAUGGGGAGCGAACAGGAUUAGAUACCCUGGUAGUCCAUGCCGUAAACGUUGGGCACUAGAUGUGGGGGACAUUCCACGUUUUCCGCGUCGUAGCUAACGCAUUAAGUGCCCCGCCUGGGGAGUACGGCCGCAAGGCUAAAACUCAAAUGAAUUGACGG